RNAcentral lists this long non-coding RNA (691 nucleotides) under Elaeis guineensis (African oil palm). RNAcentral describes it as "long non-coding RNA (EGUI_LNC004672)". The record is from RNAcentral. Lineage: Eukaryota; Viridiplantae; Streptophyta; Magnoliopsida; Arecales; Arecaceae.
GGGUGCUCUUAUAACAAUGGGAUAGUUUUCGCUCAUUAUAAUGGUUAUAAAUGAGGAAAAAAUUGGAAGGAGAGGAGGAAAGUAUAGAGGAAGAGACUAAGGUGAUAUUGGGGGCGGCCUUAUAAUUAUGGGGCAUCAUUGAUUUGCAUGGAGGUAGAGAAGGAAGAAUGUGAAGGGAAGUAGGGCAAGAAGGAGAGGCCGGUGGUGAUAAUAGGGUAACCCUAGUAUUAUGUGGCAUCGUUGGGUUGUUGUGGAGAUAAAAGAGGAAGAAGAAGAUGCGGAGAGUGGAAAAAAGGAGCGUCGACUAUGGUGAGGGAGAACUUGAUAUACUUAAUCCAUUUGAGUACUUGCAAUAACAACUAUUUAUUGAACUAAUAAUGGGUAUCAUUAAGCACAAAGCAUAAAUAUGUUUAGCUUGAUAUAUAAAUAUGCAUAAGAAGUUUAAAAUGAAAUAUAAGCAUAGAGUAUGAUAUGAAAAAUCAAUGGUCAAAAAAUAAAAAUAAUGACAUUAUUUAUAUUAUAAAAAUUUCUAUGACACGUAAUAGAAGAGGUCCAAGAUCGCUAUAAUAGCCCUUAUUUUAGACCACGACCUAAGUAUAAGGCUUAGUCCAGAUCGAUCAAGUCCAAUCUAGUGUUUAGACAGUCAAGAUCCUAUCCUUUGACAAUUUGAUGGCCCACUUAGCCAUCCAAU